CCCGCGGUAGCUCAGACUGGUAGAGCUUCCGGCUGUAGACCGGAGUGUCGCAGGCUCAAAGGAGCUGAAAAUGAGACUCCUGCCCGCGGGACCA
RNAcentral lists this transfer RNA (94 nucleotides) under Thermoproteota archaeon. Its description in RNAcentral is "tRNA-Tyr". It matches the Rfam family "tRNA". From Rfam's summary of the family: Transfer RNA (tRNA) molecules are approximately 80 nucleotides in length. Their secondary structure includes four short double-helical elements and three loops (D, anti-codon, and T loops). RNAcentral also lists the same sequence under 1 other name. Lineage: Archaea; Thermoproteati; Thermoproteota. The record is from RNAcentral.